This 207-nucleotide ribosomal RNA is filed under the name uncultured bacterium. Its description in RNAcentral is "partial 16S ribosomal RNA". It matches the Rfam family "Bacterial small subunit ribosomal RNA", at positions 568 to 774 of the family's 1533-position model. The record is from RNAcentral.
UGCGUAGGCUGCGCGGUAAGUUGGGUGUGAAAGCCCUCAGCUCAACUGAGGAAUUGCACUCAAAACUACCGUGCUCGAGGGAGACAGAGGUAAGCGGAACUCAAGGUGGAGCGGUGAAAUGCGUUGAUAUCUUGAGGAACACCGGUGGCGAAGGCGGCUUACUGGGUCUUUUCUGACGCUGAGGCACGAAAGCCAAGGUAGCAAACG